This 442-nucleotide ribosomal RNA is filed under the name uncultured bacterium. RNAcentral describes it as "partial 16S ribosomal RNA". It matches the Rfam family "Bacterial small subunit ribosomal RNA", at positions 338 to 795 of the family's 1533-position model. The record is from RNAcentral.
CCUACGGGGAGCAGCAGUAGGGAAUCUUUCACAAUGGGCGAAAGCCUGAUGGAGCAACGCCGCGUGCAGGAUGAAGGCCUUCGGGUUGUAAACUGCUUUUAUAAGCGAGAAAUAUGAUGGUAACUUAUGAAUAAGGAUCGGCUAACUACGUACCAGCAGCCACGGUCAUACGUAGGAUCCGAGCAUUAUCCGGAGUGACUGGGUGUAAAGAGUUGCGUAGGUGGCAUAAUAAGUAGCUAGUGAAAUCUGGUGGCUCAACCAUUCAGACUAUUAGCUAAACUGUUAAGCUCGAGACCGUUAGGGGUAACUGGAAUUUCUAGUGUAGGAGUGAAAUCCGUAGAUAUUAGAAGGAACACCAAUAGCGUAGGCAGGUUGCUGGGACGGUUCUGACACUAAGGCACGAAAGCGUAGGGAGCAAACGGGAUUAGAUACCCCAGUAGUC